GUAGUCUGCAACUCGACUACAUGAAGCUGGAAUCGCUAGUAAUCGCGAAUCAGCAUGUCGCGGUGAAUACGUUCCCGGGUCUUGUACACACCGCCAGUCACACCAUGGGAGUCGGUAACGCCCGAAGUCAGUGACCCAACCGAAAGGAGGGAGCUGCCGAAGGCGGGACUGGUAACUGGGGUGAAGUCGUAACAAGGUAGC
RNAcentral lists this ribosomal RNA (201 nucleotides) under uncultured bacterium. Its description in RNAcentral is "partial 16S ribosomal RNA". It matches the Rfam family "Bacterial small subunit ribosomal RNA", at positions 1300 to 1500 of the family's 1533-position model. The record is from RNAcentral.